RNAcentral lists this ribosomal RNA (815 nucleotides) under uncultured delta proteobacterium. Its description in RNAcentral is "bacterial SSU rRNA". It matches the Rfam family "Bacterial small subunit ribosomal RNA", at positions 8 to 806 of the family's 1533-position model. The record is from RNAcentral. Lineage: Bacteria; Deltaproteobacteria.
AGAGAUCAUGGCUCAGAGCGAACGUUAGCGGCGCGCCUAACACGUGCAAGUCGCACGAGAAAGGGCUUCGGCCCCGGUACAGUGGCGCACGGGUGAGUAACACGUGGGCAACCUUCCCUCGAGUGGUGGAUAACCUUCCGAAAGGAGGGCUAAUACAGCAUAAGACCACGGAUCUCCGGAUCUGAGGUCAAAGCCGGCCUCUAUAUAUAAGCUGGCGCUUGAGGAUGGGUCCGCGUCCCAUCAGCUAGUUGGUGAGGUAAUGGCUCACCAAGGCGACGACGGGUAGCUGGUCUGAGAGGAUGGCCAGCCACACUGGAACUGAGACACGGUCCAGACUCCUACGGGAGGCAGCAGUGGGGAAUCUUGCGCAAUGGACGAAAGUCUGACGCAGCGACGCCGCGUGGGCGACGAAGGCCUUCGGGUUGUAAAGCCCUGUGGGGAGGGACGAACGUUCACUGGGCUAACAUCCCGGUGAAGUGACGGUACCUCCUUAGCAAGCACCGGCUAACUCUGUGCCAGCAGCCGCGGUAAGACAGAGGGUGCAAACGUUGCUCGGAAUUACUGGGCGUAAAGCGCGUGUAGGCGGUUCCGCCAGUCUGGUGUGAAAGCCCAGGGCUCAACCCUGGAAGCGCAUUGGAUACUACGGAGCUUGAGUCCUGAAGAGGAGAGCGGAAUUCCCGGUGUAGAGGUGAAAUUCGUAGAUAUCGGGAGGAACACCAGUGGCCGAAGGCGGCUCUCUGGACAGGUACUGACGCUGAGACGCGAAAGCGUGGGUAGCAAACAGGAUUAGAUACCCUGGUAGUCCACGCUGUAAA